RNAcentral lists this unclassified non-coding RNA (391 nucleotides) under soil metagenome. Its description in RNAcentral is "partial contains 5.8S ribosomal RNA, internal transcribed spacer 2, and large subunit ribosomal RNA". The stretch from base 1 to 122 matches the Rfam family "5.8S ribosomal RNA", at positions 35 to 154 of the family's 154-position model. The record is from RNAcentral.
GAUGAAGAACGUAGCGAAAUGCGAUACUUGGUGUGAAUUGCAGAAUCCCGUGAACCAUCGAGUCUUCGAACGCAAGUUGCGCCCGAAGCCAUUAGGCCGAGGGCACGCCUGCCUGGGCGUCACACGUCGUUGCCCCCCCAUCUACUCCUUCGGGAUUGCGGGGGGCGGAUGAUGGCCUCCCGUGCGCCUCGUCGCGCGGUUGGCAUAAAUGCCAAGUCCUCGGCGACGCACGCCACGACAAUCGGUGGUUGCGAAACCUCGGUUGCCCGUCGUGUGCGGUCGUCGCGCAUCGAGGGCUCGAAAAAAUUGCCGGGCUCCGGCUCGGCUUUCAACGCGACCCCAGGUCAGGCGGGGUUACCCGCUGAAUUUAAGCAUAUCAAUAAGCGGAGGA